CCUGUGUUUUUACAUAACCGGUCUCUCUUUUCAUUAAAAUAAAAAAAAAUACUAGUAUAUGUUUUGGAGAGACCUGUGGCGAGCUUAACCGGUCUCCCUAGCUUAUUUCCAUGAAUAAAAUAUAACUAAACCCUAAAAUCUUUCCCCCAAUUUUGCUUCUUCAGUCCGCCUCCUCUUCCUCUCUCUCUCCUCCUCUUACCUCAAACUCCUUAUUCCUUCUUUUCGUGAACCAUUUCAUUCACAUUUCAACUUCAAUUCCUCCAUUUCUUGUUUCAAUUCAUCUUUUCUUCGUAAUUUAAACCUAAAUUUUUUAUGUUUAUCAUUUUCUUUAACCUCGGUACUAUAUAAAUUAUUUCGCUUUCAAUUCGUCUCCAUAGACAAACCAAUGGAGCUUCAAAAGUACCUUUUAAUGGCAUUUGAGCUUCUCCUCUUGAUUUACCACUAAGAACAGGUUAUCUAUGAGCUAAUGUUUAACGGUGAUAUGAUAUAGAUGGCGAGGAUGGUAACGGAUGAUGAUGAAGAUAAUCACUCCAAUGAAACAAGUGGAUGAUAGUUCAUUUUUAGUGUUAAUUUUUUUAUGUGAUUACAAAUUAAUAGAUUAUAGUACCUAGAUAAAUUAUCUAACACGGAGUACAUAAUAUAAAUUACGAUGUACUGCGUAUCUAAUAUGUAAAUACUUUGUAUGUAUUAUGUACUACAGAUUAAUAGAUAUACCUUAGAUUGUAUUUUUUUUUUU
Long non-coding RNA from Chenopodium quinoa (quinoa), 736 nucleotides. RefSeq lists it as uncharacterized. The record is from RefSeq and is a predicted model, not a curated record. The transcript has 2 exons. Lineage: Eukaryota; Viridiplantae; Streptophyta; Magnoliopsida; Caryophyllales; Amaranthaceae.